GUAACCAGUGCUGCAAAAUAUCAUGAACAUCAAGAGAUAUUCACCAACGAAAACAAUUAAUAUAUCCGAGGUAGCUUGAUACCAGCAAUGAGCAUUUUCAAUGAAUGUGCAUCACGACAUGCGAGUGCUUGAAUCCAACGAGUCAAUCCAACGAAAAUGUCGCGACCAAGUGAUUGACCAAGAGUUGGUUGCACACAAUGUCACCAAGCAGUCACUUACCCCGCCCAUGCACCGCCUAAAUGCACCACUAUAGUACGGAAAGAAUAUGAAUAAGAAUUGUGGGUGGAAGGGUUUCGCUCAUUGUUCGUUCGAGCUAGAGGGGUUGGUUGGUUCAAUUUUCCCCGCGACUGCAGACAAUGCUUGUACGGCACUUUUCCAAAUUGCGCUUAAAACGCGUACACAUUCCGAUGGCACACAUACAACUAUGUCAACACCCGCCUUUACCACUCCAAGGUGCGAGGGAGAAGAAUUGUGUGUUAAACGAAAUGCAACGAGCGGAGCAGCUUAGUAUUACAGCCUACUUCACCCUGUUGCAAUGUUGUUUCUUUCUGUUUAUUUAAAAUCACCUAGCAGUCAGGUGGGUGGAUUCAACAGUUGAGUGUACGCUAAAUACAGCCCAGUAAUAAUAUUUCAAACGUAGGGAGUGUUACACACACACAUACGCGCAGCCCUUUUAAAGAGGUGAAACGCAUCGUAUCGUUUGCGCACGUCGCCUCCAUUGCGUAGGCUAAUUGGUGACCCACAUGAGCCAAACCACAUACUUCCAGGUAUCGUCAAGUAAACCAGUCAAUUAGGGACUGCCCUUUAAGUAUGUAAACUAUUGAAGCACGUUCGAGUGGUGUUCCGAAUUCAUAAAACGGCGACAACUGUUUGCGGCUCGCUGCACCAAAACGUGCUGGAAUGACUUUCAUCAAAAACAGUUCCAACUCUGUAAGCAAUCGGUUCGUUAGGGUGAUUUGCGAUAAUACUGAAUUAUUGCUGAACAAAGGUUGCAAAUUCUUUGACUUCUAACGUUCUGAAAUAUUUCUAAUUUUCAGAACAGAUCAAUCAAUUUCUUCUAUAGGCGUAGAUAGAGCUCGUUUGAUUUUUUUGUAAAAUAGGGUCUUAAAUCACUUAAAUCGUGUUGCGAUUUUUUCCCUGUUUGUUUGUUAAACUCAAACUCAAACUCCAAUUAAGAUCCCGCUGCUUCGGCACAAAGACAGCCCAAGGUGAUUAGAACACCGCCAAUGGUCGAUCGAUCGAAUCCAAAGUAAAGGCGUGCCAUCAUCACCAUCAUCAUCAUCAACAUGAUCAUGAGCAUAAGCGUGGUCGUGAAGCAGGCAUGGAUGUCGUCAUCCGCGAGCGAUUCCAGCGUUUGUUUAUGAUCUCAACCUGCACAAGCGCCCUGACCUCUGCUCCAUGCCGUUCGUGCCACGCUGCACCAAAUCGAGCGUCGAAUAGGUUGAAGUUUUGCUUCACCGCGACUUGACUAAUGGCAAUUAAAUAAAUUCAAAACGCUCCGUA
Molecule: long non-coding RNA, 1503 nt
Organism: Anopheles arabiensis
Lineage: Eukaryota; Metazoa; Arthropoda; Insecta; Diptera; Culicidae
Exons: 2
Source: RefSeq, a predicted model, not a curated record